CCUUAGAGCAUGAAGACAAGGAAUG
RNAcentral lists this non-coding RNA (25 nucleotides) under Cricetulus griseus (Chinese hamster). The record is from RNAcentral. Lineage: Eukaryota; Metazoa; Chordata; Mammalia; Rodentia; Cricetidae.